AUUGAACGCUGGCGGCAUGCCUUACACAUGCAAGUCGAACGGCAGCGCGGGGCAACCUGGCGGCGAGUGGCGAACGGGUGAGUAAUAUAUCGGAACGUACCCUGGAGUGGGGAGUAACGUAGCGAAGUUACGCUAAUACCGCAUACGAUCUAAGGAUGAAGACAGGGGACCGGCAAGGCCUUGUGCUCCUGGAGCGGCCGAUAUCUGAUUAGCUAGUUGGUGGGGAAAGGGACCUACCAAGGCAUCGAUCAGUAGCUGGUCUGAGAGGACGACCA
Molecule: ribosomal RNA, 275 nt
Filed under: uncultured bacterium
Lineage: Bacteria
Description: partial 16S ribosomal RNA
Rfam family: Bacterial small subunit ribosomal RNA
Source: RNAcentral